CCCCAGUGGCCCUGAGAGGUGCUCCAGCCCUGACUGUUUGCCUGGCCCAAUGGGCGGACCUCUGUGGACCGUCCCAUCCCAGCAGAGGCAUCAGGGCUGGAGGGAGAGGAGCUGGACCCCCGUGGCAGGGCCACUGUACCCUCCCUGUCCCCUCUCAACGCCUGUGCCUUGGGGUGACCCUGCUGCUGGCUGCCCCUCCGCCUGUGCCCCCAUUAGUCAGUGAUUAGAUAUCCAUCUUUGCUUCCUAUCAAGAAGCUCCUGAAUUGGGCCAUUAUGCAGAGAAAAAAGUGUUUUUCAAUGAUCACCGGGGAGAGGAGACGCCGCCAGCACUGAGUGGAGAAUCAAUUUGAGCCAGGAAGGCCUGGCCAUCCAUCUCCCUUUGCGGGGUAAUUUAGGCCUUGGAGCUGACAGAGCAGAUAGCAGAGCCACAGCCACACAGAGGCCCUGGCCGAGGCUGAAGAAUGCGGCCGCUCUGUGGUCAUUAUCUUGGGGAGGCUGCUGCCAGGAGGAGGGGCAGGAAGAAAAAUUGGGCCCAUCUGGGAAGAGUGAUCUUUCCACGAGGAUGCUCUUGGAGGAGGCGGUUAUCCGUCCCCCGGUGACCUCCCUGCAGCCCGCGGUUUAUGGGUUUGGUUUUGUGUGGCAGCCACAGGCACAGUGGGGUGGCCCUGGGGAAUGGACACUGCCCGUGUGGUGCUGGACAGACUGGCCGCUGCCGUCCCUGCCCUUCCUAACUGCUGGCUGUCACCCAGACUCUACCAGGAGUGACCCUUCCCUGUGCCGGCCCCUCAUCAUCCCGUCUCAACUGCAGCCAUGGAGGCCCAGGAGGGAAGCCACCAGCUAGCACACAGCAGCAGCAGGAUUUGGGCUCCGCCACCUAGGGGCCUCUCCCCUUCGCCUGUCCCUCCCGUUCCUCUUGUCCCCUGAGAGGGUCUCAGAUACGGUCUGCCGGCCGUAACAGGUUGGAAGGGAACAGCCAGAAAGUCCCAACCGUCCCCUGCCAUGUGGCUCAGGUGAGUCUCCUCCCCUGUCUGGGUUUGGUCUGGAUCUCACCUGGGUCUUCAAGCCUAGCAUGGUGCCCAGACCUCCCAGGGGCUCUGGCUCAUGACUGUGGGAAUGAACAGUGGGGCAGGGCAUCAGGCCCCUCUCCACCUGCU
This 1154-nucleotide long non-coding RNA is filed under the name Callithrix jacchus (white-tufted-ear marmoset). RNAcentral describes it as "lncRNA (ENSCJAG00000084442.1)". Lineage: Eukaryota; Metazoa; Chordata; Mammalia; Primates; Cebidae. The record is from RNAcentral.